ACAAUGCGGGACUAUCAGUCUUGCAAUUGGAUUGAGAACAAUGUACAACUCUUAUCGAUAAGCCAUUGGAGGGCAAGUCUGGUGCCAGCAGCCGCGGUAAUUCCAGCUCCAAUAGCGUAUAUUAACGUUGUUGCAGUUAAAAAGCUCGUAGUUGAAGUGUGGGUGAUCGCUGUUGUGAGACUUCGGUCUCUCGACAGUAAGUCACCCCCUUCCAGUAUCCAGUAGUGGGUAUUCAGUUACUUACUAUUGUGUGUUGGUCAUUUACUGUGAGAAAAUUAGAGUGUUCAAAGCAGGCGUUUGCUUGAAUAGAUUAGCAUGGAAUAAUAAUUGAAGGCUUUCGUGUUCGAUUUGAUUGGUUUGUUCAUGGAAGCAAGGUUAAAAGGAACAGUUGGGGGUAUUCAUAUUCACUAGUUAGAGGUGAAAUUCUCGGAUUUAUGGAAGAU
This 443-nucleotide ribosomal RNA is filed under the name Blastocystis sp. RNAcentral describes it as "SSU rRNA". It matches the Rfam family "Eukaryotic small subunit ribosomal RNA", at positions 477 to 936 of the family's 1831-position model. Lineage: Eukaryota; Bigyra; Opalinata; Blastocystidae. The record is from RNAcentral.